RNAcentral lists this ribosomal RNA (468 nucleotides) under uncultured soil bacterium. Its description in RNAcentral is "bacterial SSU rRNA". It matches the Rfam family "Bacterial small subunit ribosomal RNA", at positions 26 to 518 of the family's 1533-position model. The record is from RNAcentral.
AGAGCGAACGCUGGCGGCAGGCCUAACACAUGCAAGUCGAACGGACCCUUCGGGGUUAGUGGCGGACGGGUGAGUAACACGUGGGAACGUGCCUUUAGGUUCGGAAUAGCUCCUGGAAACGGGUGGUAAUGCCGAAUGUGCCCUUCGGGGGGAAAGAUUUAUCACCUUUAGAGCGGCCCGCGUCUGAUUAGCUUGUUGGUGAGGUAAUGGCUCACCAAGGCUACGAUCAGUAGCUGGUCUGAGAGGAUGACCAGCCACAUUGGGACUGAGACACGGCCCAAACUCCUACGGGAGCAGCAGUGGGAAUUUUGGACAAUGGGCGAAAGCCUGAUCCAGCAAUGCCGCGUGCAGGAAGAAGGCCUUCGGGUGUAAACUGCUUUUGUACGGAACGAAACGGUCUGCCUUAAUACAGUGGACUAAUGACGGUACCGUAAGAAUAAGCACCGCUAACUACGUGCCAGCAGCCGC